Molecule: long non-coding RNA, 1878 nt
Filed under: Ananas comosus (pineapple)
Lineage: Eukaryota; Viridiplantae; Streptophyta; Magnoliopsida; Poales; Bromeliaceae
Description: long non-coding RNA (ACOM_LNC020730)
Source: RNAcentral
AAUUUUUAAAAUUUAAUUUAUUAUAAUUUUUAAUUAGAAUUUUUAAAAUUCUAAUUAAUAUUUAGUCAUCUAUAUAAGAUUGUGAAAUUUGAUUAUGAUAAUUUACUAAGUUUGAGUUAUAAAUUAUAGCAAAUUAAAAUUUAAGCACCAAAAUAUCGUGAGUCUCAGAGUUUUAGAACCAAAAGUAUAAUUUAGCCUAAAAAAAUUAUCUUGCGCCUGAUAAUAAUGGACUAGGGCUACUAUAUUCUUAUGAGUAUGAGCCCCUUUACACUCAUAAGUUUUCGAUCAUUGGAUGAAAGAUGUAUGGUUAGGAUGAUAGCGGUCUCCGAUUAAAAUAAUAGUGAUCCGUUAGGGUUGAGUGGGUGGUUGGUUGAAUAAUAUGAUAUAACAGAUAAAAAUGAUCAAAAAAGUAGAUCUAACGACCGAAAAUUUACGAAUACAAAAAAUACUUGUACUCAUAAAAGUAAAGUAGCCGGACUCAUAAUAAUGUAGCAAAUAUUAGUUAAUGCUGAAAGGACAGUUUUAUUGGAAUUAACAAUAAUUCUUAACUAUGAUUAAAUUAAAAUGAAUAAUUACAAUUGAGAAUAAAAUUAAGAUAGAAACUAUGAAACUAAUUUAAACUAUCAACUAUUUGAAUGUGAGUAUCUAAUUUUUAAAAAUUUUAAUUUUACUAUCUAACUUUUUAAUUUAUUUAAUUUAAAUCAGUCAACGAUACUUUGACUAUAAAAUUUAAAUAUAUCGUUCAUCUUUACAGAUUUACUUACUAUAUUUUAUACAAUUCUCACAACUAUAAAUUAAUUAAAAUAAGUAAUUAGCUUAAAUUUAAAGUCAAAGUGUCAUCUAUUGCAUCAAAUCAAACAAAAUGAAAAAUCGGAUCGUAAAAUUAAAAUUUUGAAAAUUAGAUAGCCAUAUUUAAAUAUUUUAUAGUCCAACUAAGUUUCAUACGUUUUUACCUCUAAUUAUAAGAAAAUUGAGAAUGAAAAAUAAAAGAGAUAAUUGUCUACAUAUGUCUCAAAAUCUUUGAAAUACCUUAUUUAUUCAUAUUUUUUAUUUCAAAUAUUUUUAUAUAUAUUUUUUUGUUAUUUAAAAAUAUCUCUGUUGUUAGUGUCCGUUAAAUUAUCUCAGGUUAAAUAUGAGUUAAAUUUCUAUUAUAGUUAAAAAAUAAUAAAAAUAUCUAUUUUGUCUCUAAUUUAAGAGCAAAUAAAAGAAAAUGAUGACAGUAAAGAAUAUAUUUGAAAGGGCAAAAGGUCAAAACAUUUUUUUUGCCCCUAACUUAUAAGAGCAAAUAAAAAAAAUUGGUGACAACAAAAAAGCAUAUUUGAAAGGACAAAAUGAUAAUUUUAUAGACACAAUGACGGUUCCUAACAGUUUGUUAAUAGAAUUUAACUCUCGGAUAUAUUUGAAAGACUUUCGAAUCUUAAAAUAGUAUUUUUAAUAGUGACCUUUCAAGAGGGAUAAAUAAAAAAAUGGAGAAUUUUUUAGGGAUAUAUAAGCAAUUGCCCUCAAAAUAAAAAAAAAGGGGUAAACUUCAAAUACCACCCCUUUCUGACUUUGGUACCCUGUAGUUUAAAGUAUAUUUAGUGUCAUGUAGUUUCAUUUUUAUCUUUUCGUUAGCUUCUCCGUUAAUAUUUCGUUAAACUAUAUACAAUAAACUUUAGAUACCCACCUAGGGUUAUCGAAUAUUCACUUUAGUACCUUUCAGUUUUAAUUUUGUCACCGAUUUAAUGAAAAAAAAUAAUAAAAUUGAUAAUAAAAAGAUAAAAAUAAAAUCAUAUGGCACUAAAUUGAUACAAUUUAAAUUACAGAGUAGUAAAGUAAGAAAGUGUAAAACUACAGGGGUGGUAUUUGAAGUUUUUUCAAAUACAAAAGAGAAAAAGG